AUACGGAGGGUGCAAGCGUUACUCGGAAUCACUGGGCGUAAAGGAUGCGUAGGCUGGAAAUCAAGUCGAGAGUGAAAUCCAACGGCUCAACCGUUGAACUGCUCUCGAAACUGGUUACCUAGAAUAUGGGAGAGGAAGAUGGAAUUGGUGGUGUAGGGGUAAAAUCCGUAGAUAUCACCAGGAAUACCGAUUGCGAAGGCGAUCUACUGGAACAUUAUUGACGCUGAGGCAUGAAAGCGUGGGGAGCAAACAGGAUUAGAUACCCUGGUAGUCCACGCCCUAAACGAUGCACACUAGUUGUUGCGAUGCUAGUCAUUGCAGUAAUGCACUUAACAGAUUAAGUGUGCCGCCUGGGGAGUACGGCCGCAAGGUUAAAACUCAAAGGAAUUGACGGGG
RNAcentral lists this ribosomal RNA (396 nucleotides) under uncultured bacterium. Its description in RNAcentral is "partial 16S ribosomal RNA". It matches the Rfam family "Bacterial small subunit ribosomal RNA", at positions 523 to 918 of the family's 1533-position model. The record is from RNAcentral.